Molecule: ribosomal RNA, 253 nt
Filed under: uncultured bacterium
Lineage: Bacteria
Description: partial 16S ribosomal RNA
Rfam family: Bacterial small subunit ribosomal RNA
Source: RNAcentral
UACGUAGGGCGCAAGCGUUAUCCGGAAUUAUUGGGCGUAAAGAGCUCGUAGGCGGUUUGUCGCGUCUGCCGUGAAAGUCCGGGGCUCAUCCCCGGAUCUGCGGUGGGUACGGGCAGACUAGAGUGAUGUAGGGGAGACUGGAAUUCCUGGUGUAGCGGUGAAAUGCGCAGAUAUCAGGAGGAACACCGAUGGCGAAGGCAGGUCUCUGGGCAUUAACUGACGCUGAGGAGCGAAAGCAUGGGGAGCGAACAGG